This 77-nucleotide transfer RNA is filed under the name Rhizoctonia solani. Its description in RNAcentral is "tRNA-Lys". It matches the Rfam family "tRNA". From Rfam's summary of the family: Transfer RNA (tRNA) molecules are approximately 80 nucleotides in length. Their secondary structure includes four short double-helical elements and three loops (D, anti-codon, and T loops). Lineage: Eukaryota; Fungi; Basidiomycota; Agaricomycetes; Cantharellales; Ceratobasidiaceae. The record is from RNAcentral.
GCCCUGCUAGCUCAAUCGGUAGAGCGUGAGACUUUUACUUCAUCUCAAGGCUGCGGGUUCGAGCCCCGCGUGGGGCU